CAAUGAAGUCUGGAUCUUCUCCACUCUUCCUCUCUUUGCUUUCAUGAUUCUCAAUAACCACUCACUCUCAUUUAUACUAGUUCUCGAAUUGGCACAUAUCGAUCGACUGCGCUGUAUGUUAUGGAACCAGGAGGUAAGCAUUUUGUCUUGUUUUCCACCAGUUUCAUUUCUUGUGCUGCUCCAUCUCACUUAUUCAUGUCGAGUAGCGUAGCCGAUACAUCCCUAAUUGGAGCGCGCACACAGAAUCCAUGUGCACAGUGAAUAAAACUUGAUCAUCUCCCACAUAGACGAGCCAUUAUUGCAUGUAUUGGAUUUUGCACUGAGGCUUUUCCCUCAUUAUAUCAUACAAAGGUGGUCCACGGCCAGCUGAUCUGAGAUCGAGAAGAUCCUUUUGGGUAGAAAAAGGAGAUAUUUUACAGAUUAUUUAAUCCUUUUUAAAUAAUUAUUUUUAUAACUUUUCUUUACAUCUAUCUGGUUAGCAUCAACAGGAAAUCGUACAACGAGCAUGCAUCUAGAGGGCUCGAACUAGACUCCUCUUGAUCAAUCUCUAAGCAAAGCCAAUUGAUGCACGUUCCAUACGUGUGAACUGGCGUCGAAAUACACGAGGAUACUUCCAUAGGAUCUUGUCUGGCUUCGGAGGCAAUAUCGGGAACAGCAUCAAUUUAAGGAAAGUGUCUACACGCCUUGAAUGUAUGUGCUAGUCUUUCUCCAGAUUUAACCAUGAAGUCUGUCGUUGGGUUUGCAUUGCUAUACCACAAAGCCCACCGCUCGAAAACUGAGUCGGUUACCAGAAAGACCUGACAUCUUCACCUUGGGAGAUUGUCAAGGAGGAGUCCAAAUUCUAACACGUCAACAUAUCUAGUUGGACUCACAUUUACUCAGAAACUUAAGUUAAUGAGUUGUGAGUUAACUAUGAUAAUAUUAUCUACUCCAUGCCACACUAAUUCUCCGAUGUGGGACUUUAACACAACUCACACGUGCAACUCAAUAUUUACUUUCUUUUGUCGAUUCACUGGUUGAAGCAAAACUUUGACGAGGGAGAUAGUCUUAGAUGCAACAUAAGACAUUCCCGUCCUCCCAUACUGAUAUUUAUGUGCCAAGGUUGAUCGGCUCGGAAGAAAACUGGAAAAUACACAAUAUUUAGUAUGUAACGAUUUAUUUGGAUGAA
Molecule: long non-coding RNA, 1168 nt
Organism: Syzygium oleosum
Lineage: Eukaryota; Viridiplantae; Streptophyta; Magnoliopsida; Myrtales; Myrtaceae
Exons: 4
Source: RefSeq, a predicted model, not a curated record